CUCUGAUUCUUUCCUUUUUUUUUUUUCCCUUUUUUUUUUCCUUUUUGGCCACCCAGAGCCAUAACUGAUUAUUUAUCUAAUCGCAAACAUUAUCAAUCUAUGCAGUAGCAGAUCAACUGUCAAUCUUGAUCACCCACACACACCUGGAAGCGGUACCAGAAGUAAGAGAGUGUCGGGUAUGAGAAUGAAAAUUUAUCUUUUAGAAUUGCUCUUAACAGAAGGGAGAAAAUCUUCAGAAGUCAUCUUCAUAGAUUUUAUUCCUAAAUAUAGAUGCUUUUAAAUUGUUUGAAGAAACCCCUUCAGAAUAUUUGGAGAAGAAUCAACAGGACAGUGAGUCAGACUCCUUCAGCUGUUUCUACUUCUAAAACUCCUAAUUUUGCAAAGUACAUUGGCUGUUUUGGGCUAUUGCUGCAGUGACCUAGUCUGAAUGCUACGCUGGCCAGCUUGCUCCAAGAAUUAAUGGACUUCAAGCCUGGAUAAUGUGUCCCAGAGAAGGUAAAGGAGAAAAAGCACCUUGCUAUACUCGCUUUGCACUUAUUAUUCCACUCCCAUGAAGAUUCCAGGAAGCCACUGGAGCUUCUCUUAUUCUUGACAGUGAAAGUGAGUUGGGAAUGUGGAAGGAUUAACAAGUCCUAGAGACUGAACCUCAGCACCUCUGAAUCCAGUAAAAUCGUUAGCCUUCCCCAUUCCCUGAAGACUGUCUCUAAGUGAUUUUGCCAAAACAAGUCUCUCUACCAGUAGGAGAUUGUCAAGGCUCCAAUUAGUAAAUCCCUAAGCCCCAAAGUCAAUUAUGUGGGUAUGAAAAGUGCUGGAAAACUCUCAUUCCUGGGAAAAGAAAGAAUCAGAUAGGCCAUUAGCCCCACUGGGUGCAUAGAAGGAUUAGAAUCCACCACAAAAAGCAAUGUUCAUGCUUCUACUGAAAUGGAAUAAAGAUGACUGGAUGACUAUACUGUUAGAUCCGUUUCAGUAACUUUCUGAAAGCGACACAAGCCAGCAAAGUACGCUGGAUGUUUAUUCCUCUCUAAAUGGUUCCUCCACUCCUAUGCACUGUAAG
RNAcentral lists this long non-coding RNA (1054 nucleotides) under Sus scrofa (pig). RNAcentral's name for it is "lncRNA (ENSSSCG00025045692.1)". Lineage: Eukaryota; Metazoa; Chordata; Mammalia; Artiodactyla; Suidae. The record is from RNAcentral.